UACGGGGGGGGCAAGCGUUGUUCGGAAUUACUGGGCGUAAAGGGCGCGUAGGCGGUCUGCUAAGUUGGAUGUGAAAACUCUGGGCUUAACCCAGAGCCUGCAUUCAAAACUGACAGGCUAGAGUUCUGGAGGGGGAAGCGGAAUUCCUGGUGUAGCGGUGAAAUGCGUAGAUAUCAGGAGGAACACCGGUGGCGAAGGCGGCUUCCUGGACAGAAACUGACGCUGAGACGCGAAAGCGUGGGGAGCAAACAGG
This 253-nucleotide ribosomal RNA is filed under the name uncultured bacterium. RNAcentral's name for it is "partial 16S ribosomal RNA". It matches the Rfam family "Bacterial small subunit ribosomal RNA", at positions 524 to 776 of the family's 1533-position model. The record is from RNAcentral.